CUUUGAGAAGGUGAUCUGAACGACACUACCAGGGCUUUGAGAAGGUGAUCUGAACACACUACCAGGGCUUUGAGAAGGUGAUCUGAACGACACUAACAGGGCUUUGAGAAGGUGAUCUGAACGACACUAACAGGGCUUUGAGAAGGUGAUCUGAACGACACUAACAGGGCUUUGAAAAGGUGAUCUGAACGACACUAACAGGGCUUUGAGAAGGUGAUCUGAACGACACUACCAGGGCUUUGAAAAGGUGAUCUGAACGACACUAACAGGGCUUUGAGAAGGUGAUCUGAACGACACUACCAGGGCUUUGAGAAGGUGAUCUGAACACACUACCAGGGCUUUGAAAAGGUGAUCUGAACGACACUACCAGGGCUUUGAGAAGGUGAUCUGAACGACACUAACAGGGCUUUGAAAAGGUGAUCUGAACGACACUACCAGGGCUUUGAGAAGGUGAUCUGAACACACUACCAGGGCUUUGAGAAGGUGAUCUGAACGACACUACCAGGGCUUUGAGAAGGUGAUCUGAACGACACUACCAGGGCUUUGAGAAGGUGAUCUGAACGACACUAACAGGGCUUUGAAAAGGUGAUCUGAACACACUACCAGGGCUUUGAGAAGGUGAUCUGAACGACACUACCAGGGCUUUGAGAAGGUGAUCUGAACGACACUACCAGGGCUUUGAGAAGGUGAUCUGAACACACUACCAGGGCUUUGAGAAGGUGAUCUGAACGACACU
Molecule: long non-coding RNA, 736 nt
Organism: Oncorhynchus keta (chum salmon)
Lineage: Eukaryota; Metazoa; Chordata; Actinopteri; Salmoniformes; Salmonidae
Exons: 5
Source: RefSeq, a predicted model, not a curated record